This 465-nucleotide ribosomal RNA is filed under the name Vreelandella stevensii. RNAcentral's name for it is "partial 16S ribosomal RNA". It matches the Rfam family "Bacterial small subunit ribosomal RNA", at positions 338 to 795 of the family's 1533-position model. Lineage: Bacteria; Pseudomonadati; Pseudomonadota; Gammaproteobacteria; Oceanospirillales; Halomonadaceae. The record is from RNAcentral.
CCUACGGGAGGCUGCAGUGGGGAAUAUUGGACAAUGGGGGCAACCCUGAUCCAGCCAUGCCGCGUGUGUGAAGAAGGCCCUCGGGUUGUAAAGCACUUUCAGUGAGGAAGAACGCCUGGUGGUUAAUACCCAUCAGGAAAGACAUCACUCACAGAAGAAGCACCGGCUAACUCCGUGCCAGCAGCCGCGGUAAUACGGAGGGUGCGAGCGUUAAUCGGAAUUACUGGGCGUAAAGCGCGCGUAGGUGGCUUGAUAAGCCGGUUGUGAAAGCCCCGGGCUCAACCUGGGAACGGCAUCCGGAACUGUCAAGCUAGAGUGCAGGAGAGGAAGGUAGAAUUCCCGGUGUAGCGGUGAAAUGCGUAGAGAUCGGGAGGAAUACCAGUGGCGAAGGCGGCCUUCUGGACUGACACUGACACUGAGGUGCGAAAGCGUGGGUAGCAAACAGGAUUAGAUACCCUUGUAGGC